UCCGUGACUAUUACCCCGUUUGG
This 23-nucleotide non-coding RNA is filed under the name Cricetulus griseus (Chinese hamster). Lineage: Eukaryota; Metazoa; Chordata; Mammalia; Rodentia; Cricetidae. The record is from RNAcentral.